RNAcentral lists this ribosomal RNA (253 nucleotides) under uncultured bacterium. RNAcentral's name for it is "partial 16S ribosomal RNA". It matches the Rfam family "Bacterial small subunit ribosomal RNA", at positions 524 to 776 of the family's 1533-position model. The record is from RNAcentral.
GACGUAGGGCGCGAGCGUUGUCCGGAUUUAUUGGGCGUAAAGAGCUCGUAGGCGGCUUGUCGCGUCGUUCGUGAAAACCUGGGGCUCAACUCCAGGCUUGCGGGCGAUACGGGCAGGCUAGAGUUCGGUAGGGGAGACUGGAAUUCCUGGUGUAGCGGUGAAAUGCGCAGAUAUCAGGAGGAACACCGGUGGCGAAGGCGGCGUCCUGGACCAACACUGACACUGAUGAGCGAAAGCCAGGGGAGCAAACGGG